GAGGGAUGGGAGGAGGGGGUGGGGCUUACUUGUUGUAGCUUUUUUUUUUUUUACAGACUUCACAGAGAAUGCAGUUGUCUUGACUUCAGAUGCAACCUUAAAAUCAGUGACAAGAAACAUUCCAAACAAGCAACAGUCUUCAAGAAAUUAAACUGGCAAGUGGAAAUGUUUAAACAGUUCAGUGAUCUUUAGUGCAUUGUUUAUGUGUGGGUUUCUCUCUCCCCUCCCUUGGUCUUAAUUCUUACAUGCAGGAACACUCAGCAGACACACGUAUGCGAAGGGCCAGAGAAGCCAGACCCAGUAAGAAAAAAUAGCCUAUUUACUUUAAAUAAACCAAACAUUCCAUUUUAAAUGUGGGGAUUGGGAACCACUAGUUCUUUCAGAUGGUAUUCUUCAGACUAUAGAAGGAGCUUCCAGUUGAAUUCACCAGUGGACAAAAUGAGGAAAACAGGUGAACAAGCUUUUUCUGUAUUUACAUACAAAGUCAGAUCAGUUAUGGGACAAUAGUAUUGAAUAGAUUUCAGCUUUAUGCUGGAGUAACUGGCAUGUGAGCAAACUGUGUUGGCGUGGGGGUGGAGGGGUGAGGUGGGCGCUAAGCCUUUUUUUAAGAUUUUUCAGGUACCCCUCACUAAAGGCACCGAAGGCUUAAAGUAGGACAACCAUGGAGCCUUCCUGUGGCAGGAGAGACAACAAAGCGCUAUUAUCCUAAGGUCAAGAGAAGUGUCAGCCUCACCUGAUUUUUAUUAGUAAUGAGGACUUGCCUCAACUCCCUCUUUCUGGAGUGAAGCAUCCGAAGGAAUGCUUGAAGUACCCCUGGGCUUCUCUUAACAUUUAAGCAAGCUGUUUUUAUAGCAGCUCUUAAUAAUAAAGCCCAAAUCUCAAGCGGUGCUUGAAGGGGAGGGAAAGGGGGAAAGCGGGCAACCACUUUUCCCUAGCUUUUCCAGAAGCCUGUUAAAAGCAAGGUCUCCCCACAAGCAACUUCUCUGCCACAUCGCCACCCCGUGCCUUUUGAUCUAGCACAGACCCUUCACCCCUCACCUCGAUGCAGCCAGUAGCUUGGAUCCUUGUGGGCAUGAUCCAUAAUCGGUUUCAAGGUAACGAUGGUGUCGAGGUCUUUGGUGGGUUGAACUAUGUUAGAAAAGGCCAUUAAUUUGCCUGCAAAUUGUUAACAGAAGGGUAUUAAAACCACAGCUAAGUAGCUCUAUUAUAAUACUUAUCCAGUGACUAAAACCAACUUAAACCAGUAAGUGGAGAAAUAACAUGUUCAAGAACUGUAAUGCUGGGUGGGAACAUGUAACUUGUAGACUGGAGAAGAUAGGCAUUUGAGUGGCUGAGAGGGCUUUUGGGUGGGAAUGCAAAAAUUCUCUGCUAAGACUUUUUCAGGUGAACAUAACAGACUUGGCCAAGCUAGCAUCUUAGCGGAAGCUGAUCUCCAAUGCUCUUCAGUAGGGUCAUGAAGGUUUUUCUUUUCCUGAGAAAACAACACGUAUUGUUUUCUCAGGUUUUGCUUUUUGGCCUUUUUCUAGCUUAAAAAAAAAAAAAGCAAAAGAUGCUGGUGGUUGGCACUCCUGGUUUCCAGGACGGGGUUCAAAUCCCUGCGGCGUCUUUGCUUUGACUACUAAUCUGUCUUCAGGACUCUUUCUGUAUUUCUCCUUUUCUCUGCAGGUGCUAGUUCUUGGAGUUUUGGGGAGGUGGGAGGUAACAGCACAAUAUCUUUGAACUAUAUACAUCCUUGAUGUAUAAUUUGUCAGGAGCUUGACUUGAUUGUAUAUUCAUAUUUACACGAGAACCUAAUAUAACUGCCUUGUCUUUUUCAGGUAAUAGCCUGCAGCUGGUGUUUUGAGAAGCCCUACUGCUGAAAACUUAACAAUUUUGUGUAAUAAAAAUGGAGAAGCUCUAAA
Molecule: long non-coding RNA, 1901 nt
Organism: Homo sapiens (human)
Lineage: Eukaryota; Metazoa; Chordata; Mammalia; Primates; Hominidae
Source: Ensembl